Molecule: long non-coding RNA, 385 nt
Organism: Pelmatolapia mariae (spotted tilapia)
Lineage: Eukaryota; Metazoa; Chordata; Actinopteri; Cichliformes; Cichlidae
Exons: 3
Source: RefSeq, a predicted model, not a curated record
CACACACACAGUUCCAUGUAAGAUACGCUUCUGUACGCCCUGCCCUCGUCAUGAGCUCAGCGUGCGAGGUUUCUUUUCCUGCUGCUGCCAGCCUUUUAAAGUGGACGCCGGCGUGAACUGCGGCCAUAUGCCUGCCGGUUAUAUGCGGAGUGCCGACUUGGAGGAGACUAGGGUGCCUUGGUGGUGGGAUUCUUUGAGUGUACACACCUGCCUUGUUUAGUUUAUUAGUCUGAGUGUGUGAUAGUGUGCUGCACUUGUGUCUUGGUGUGUUUUCUUCUUUUUUUGAGUUUGUGUGUGGCAUCCCUGCCCCUCCACUGGUAAGCCUCAGCUCUGAAUACCUUUUUUAAGCAUAUUUGUAUAUUGAUAUUUAUGAUUGUGUUUUUAU